RNAcentral lists this ribosomal RNA (2241 nucleotides) under Candidatus Yanofskybacteria bacterium GW2011_GWE1_40_10. RNAcentral's name for it is "bacterial LSU rRNA". It matches the Rfam family "Bacterial large subunit ribosomal RNA", at positions 12 to 2060 of the family's 2925-position model. RNAcentral also lists the same sequence under 2 other names. Lineage: Bacteria; Candidatus Yanofskyibacteriota. The record is from RNAcentral.
UAAGGGCGUAUGGAGGAUGCCUAGACACUAGAAGGCGAUGAAGGUCGUGGCGUGACUGCGAUAAACUUCGGGGAGCCGUCGAGCGGGCUUUGAUCCGGAGGUAACCGAAUGGGGCAACCCAAUAUGACAAACUCAUAUUAUCUCGCGUAAGCGAGAUGCGUACCUGGGGAAGUGAAACAUCUCAGUACCCAGAGGAAAAGAGAACGAAGUUAUCCCCUUAGUAGCGGCGAGCGAAAAGGGAACAGCCUAAACCGAUUUCAUAAUUUAUUAUGUCGUCGGGGUAAUAGGGAUAGUACAACUAAAAAUUUGAAUUUCGGUCUUCUUGAUCGAGAUUCAAGUUUUUAAAAGAAGUUACAAAUUCGUGCGUUAGCAGAAUGGCCCUGGAAUGGCCAACCAAAGAAGGUGACAGUCCUGUAAGCGAAAACAAACGAACUUCUGUAUUAUUUCCUGAGUAGCCCGGGAUAAGGAUGUCCUGGGUGAAUUUGUCCAUACUACUGGAUAAGGCUAAAUACUUCUAGUGAUCGAUAGUGAACCAGUACCGUGAGGGAAAGGUGAAAAGCACCCCGAUGAGGGGAGUGAAAUAGCAACUGAAACCAUAUGCCUACAAAGAGCAGGAGCCGUACUUUGCACAGAGAUCCUAAGUCCUAAACGAAUUGGAAAAUUGUUUAGAGUUUGGAAAUUAGAAUUUAGAGUUUCCGUGCAGGGUGCGGUGACUGUGUGCCUAUUGAAGAAUGACCCAACGAGUUUAUUUAAAUUACACUCUAAGUCCUUAUGGGACGAAGGGGAAGGGAAACCGAGUGUUAAUAGCGCGUCAUCCAACUUAAAUUUUUGGACUACGUAAGUCACUGAAUGGUAAUCCGUGCCCUUUUGGGUAGGACUACCAAACAAACUCCGAAUACCUUUGUGGAAUGUGCGGCAGUGAGUAAGCGGGGGCAAAGCUUCGUUUACGCAAGGGAAACAGCCCAGAUCACCGCUUAAGGUCCCAAAAUUUAGACUAAGUGAAAAGGAAGUGUUUUGCCUUAGACAGGUAGGAGGUUGGCUUAGAAGCAGCCAUCCUUUAAAGAGUGCGUAAUAGCUCACUAUUCGAUCUCAUCGCAAGAUGAGGAGGCAAAGUGCGCCGAAAAUUUAUAGGGGCUAAGUCUAAUACCGAAAGCGUGGGUUCGGUGAUUUCAUAAAGGAAAGUUGUGGACAGAGAUAGUUCAAGGGAAGAACAUCUGGCCUCAUAAGCCAGAGAUACGUGGCUCAACUCCACGGCUCUGUCCCAUAAGUCGGGCGGGAACGACAAUCAAUUUCAUACAGAACCUGUCUGCCAGACACAGCGGGUUCCACGAUUGUUGUUUUCGUCCGACAACCUUUCAUCUCGUUCUUCGAGAUGUCCUUUAUGAAACCACCGAGCGGUAGGAGAGCAUUCUGAUCUGCUGUGAAGGUUCGCUGUGAAGCGGGCUGGAGCGGUCAGAAGGGAAAAUGUUGGGAUGAGUAACCGCAAGACCGGUUAAAGUCCGGUCCGUCGUAAGCCUAAGGUUUCCUCCGCGAUGGCAAUCAUCGGAGGGUUAGGCGUCCCUAAGGAUAACCGUGCUUUCGAGCGCGGGAUGCCGAUGGUGAGCCGGUUAAUAUUCCGGCCCCACUUAUGUAUAUCUGAUUGAGAUGACGGGCAACACAAGAUCAAGCACAUUAUUGGAUUUGAUGUUUUCCACCCAUAGACUUUCUACCAGGAAAAUCCGGUAGAGGCCGCAAGGCAAUGUCGAGGGUAGAAGAAAUCGUCGCAAGACGAGAUUUGAUCGAAGAGGGCUCCAAGAAAAGUCUCUAAUGUUAGUACAUGAGUGCACGUACCUAAAACCGAAACAGGUGGGCUGGUGUAAGUGCACCAAGACGAACGGGUGAUUAUUGGUUAAGGAACUCGGCAAAAAAGCGGCCGUAAGUUCGCGAUAAGGCCUGCCGCCGCAAGGCGGCCACAGCUAAAGAACCCCUGGCGACUGUUUAUCAAAAACACAACUCCGUGCUAAGCCGAAAGGCGCUGUAUACGGGGUGACGCUUGUCCGGUGCCGGAACGUUAACGGUGGAGGUGGUAUGUCGCAAGAUGUACUGCUGACGCCCGAAGCGCCGGUGAACGACGGCAGUAACUAUAACUGUCUAAAAGUAGCAAAAUACCUUGUGGGGUAAGUUCCCACGCGCAUGAAUAGCGGAACGACUGGGGGACUGUCUCAACCAAUAGCCCGGUGAAAAUGCAAUGUCGGUAAAGAU